GAUGAAGAACGUAGCGAAAUGCGAUAAGUAAUGUGAAUUGCAGAAUUCAGUGAAUCAUCGAAUCUUUGAACGCACAUUGCGCCCGCUAGUAUUCUGGCGGGCAUGCCUGUCCGAGCGUCAUUUCAACCCUCAAGCCCUCGGGCUUGGUGUUGGGGAUCGGCGAGCCUCCGCGCCCGCCGUCCCCUAAAUCUAGUGGCGGUCUCGCUGUAGCUUCCUCUGCGUAGUAGCACACCUCGCACUGGGAAACAGCGCGGCCACGCCGUUAAACCCCCAACUUCUGAACGUUUGACCUCGGAUCAGGUAGGAAUACCCGCUGAACUUAAGCAUAUCAAUAAGCGGAGGA
RNAcentral lists this unclassified non-coding RNA (343 nucleotides) under soil metagenome. Its description in RNAcentral is "partial contains 5.8S ribosomal RNA, internal transcribed spacer 2, and large subunit ribosomal RNA". The stretch from base 1 to 120 matches the Rfam family "5.8S ribosomal RNA", at positions 35 to 154 of the family's 154-position model. The record is from RNAcentral.